AUCCGGGGGAGAAUUCCCUUAUUGCUCACUUCUCUGAGCUUCAAGGUUCUGAAGCAUCCAGAUAAGAAGUUCCGGGUUGGCCAGGCCCUGAGGGCCACUGUUGUUGGCCCAGAUUCCUCCAAGACCUUCUUAUGUCUGUCCCUCACAGGUGUGGGGAUGAAACAGUGCCUGGUCGGGGAAGGGAAGCGGCGGGAAGGGGUGGGAUGGGUUUUCAGCUAUUGCUUGAGUUGGAGGACCCCUUCGGUAUUGGAAUCCUCAGAAAGCCUGGUGUGGGACCUUCUUGGAACAGUUUUUCUCUUGGGCUUUGCUCUGGCCCAGUUACUCCACUGCUCUCUGAGUUACCUUUACCUGUACAGGUUACCCUUACCUACACAGGUGUUUUUCUCAAGUCCCUGGGAAAGAGUUGUCCACCACUUGGCCCUGAGGUUCUUGGCUACAUGGCAGGGUGAUCUCAGUCUAGAUGGUUCUGGAUCACUCAGCCCGGAUACCCCAAGUCUGGG
Molecule: small RNA, 500 nt
Filed under: Pan troglodytes (chimpanzee)
Lineage: Eukaryota; Metazoa; Chordata; Mammalia; Primates; Hominidae
Description: retained intron
Source: RNAcentral